RNAcentral lists this unclassified non-coding RNA (452 nucleotides) under Hevea brasiliensis (rubber tree). Lineage: Eukaryota; Viridiplantae; Streptophyta; Magnoliopsida; Malpighiales; Euphorbiaceae. The record is from RNAcentral.
GUGCUCUUCUCAUGAAGGGAAAAAUAGGACUGAAUAAUACGCAGUUUUGGACUAUCCUCCACUUGAGCCUUUGGGAUAACAUGGUCUUUUAAAUAUGCCCAAUCAGGCUGUUUCCACAGACUAUCAAGCAAUAUCUCAUAAUUCUCAACCAUCUUGCCAAAGUCGACCAAUACAUCCCAUUGACUAAGUUGACUAGCACAACAUAGCCACUGCUCCUCCCAGAGACACAUUUCAGCUUUUGGAACUGUAUUGUUGUAAGUGCCCUGGGUUGCUUUAACCAUGGCUUGGUAGAAGAGACUUUGAGCCCGCUGCCAAUAGCCAUGCUGAACAAGAGAAAGUCCAGCCCGUGUCUCAGCAGUAAUUGACCGUUUCUUCCACAAUCCACACCUCAUAUCUUCUUCAUUGAGUAAUCGGUAAAGCUCAGCAAGAGACUCUGAACAUUUCGUGUCAUU